CGCGGCCUAUCAGCUUGUCGGUGGGGUAGUGGCCUACCAAGGCGACGACGGGUAGCCGGCCUGAGAGGGUGACCGGCCACACUGGGACUGAGACACGGCCCAGACUCCUACGGGAGGCAGCAGUGGGGAAUAUUGCGCAAUGGGCGGAAGCCUGACGCAGCGACGCCGCGUGGGGGAUGACGGCCUUCGGGUUGUAAACCUCUUUCAGCAGGGACGAAGCGGAAGUGACGGUACCUGCAGAAGAAGCACCGGCCAACUACGUGCCAGCAGCCGCAGUAAUACGUAGGGUGCAAGCGUUGUCCGGAAUUAUUGGGCGUAAAGAGCUCGUAGGCGGUCUGUCGCGUCGGCUGUGAAAUCCCGGAGCUCAACUCCGGGUCUGCAGUCGAUACGGGCAAACUGGAGUACUGCAGGGGAGACUGGAAUUCCUGGUGUAGCGGUGAAAUGCGCAGAUAUCAGGAGGAACACCGGUGGCGAAGGCGGGUCUCUGGGCAGUAACUGACGCUGAGGAGCGAAAGCGUGGGGAGCGAACAGGAUUAGAUACCCUGGUAGUCCACGCCGUAAACGUUGGGCGCUAGGUGUGGGGCUCAUUCCACGAGUUCCGUGCCGCAGCUAACGCAUUAAGCGCCCCGCCUGGGA
Molecule: ribosomal RNA, 636 nt
Filed under: uncultured bacterium
Lineage: Bacteria
Description: bacterial SSU rRNA
Rfam family: Bacterial small subunit ribosomal RNA
Source: RNAcentral